Long non-coding RNA from Perca flavescens (yellow perch), 201 nucleotides. RefSeq lists it as uncharacterized. The record is from RefSeq and is a predicted model, not a curated record. The transcript has 3 exons. NCBI's taxonomy places the organism in Eukaryota, Metazoa, Chordata, Actinopteri, Perciformes, Percidae.
CGGGAGAUGAGUCUGAGAGUUGGAGCAAAAACCUCCGAAAUAUGGGGAUAUUUCAGGCCAACUGAAAGCAGUCCGCCGUCUUCACAACUCUGAGACAAACUGUAGCAGGUGCUACGAACCGGAGCAAGGACUAACCUCGCCUCAUAACGAGGCCGUGACCUAUAUUUGCUCGGAGCUGUCUGCGGGUCCAGAUUUACAUGA